AUGAUGUGUAUCAACUGUAGAUACACAUGGCACUUCUGCUCCGAGUGCCCGGCGCCUCCCCGAUGCCCCACGACUCUUGCAUACUUGGGGUAUGGGUAUGAGGGCUGUGGUUUCUACUACGUCGACGCGGAUCUGGAUGAGGAGCCUGUCAGGCCGCACUUGGUGACGGUCUCGCUCGUUCCUGGUCAGACUCUGCCGCAGUCGGUCGUGGUUACUGCGGACCUCAUUCGCGACGAGCUGACGGCCUACAUCGGCGAUUACUGUGACAGAGACUUCUCCUGGGUCGUCACUGAGACUGCACCUCUGGUCUUCUCUUUGUCAUUCCCUUCUGCUGAGCUUCUCCGUGUUUGCACCCAUGACAACAUCAAAUGCCCACUCAAGAAGUUCCUCAUCUCCGUCAAGGAGGCCACCGCGGAACCAGAUUCGGUCCCACCGUUGACCGCGGUAUGGGUGCUGGUAUACGGGCUCCCAAAGGGAAGCAGGCUCGCCCCUAGAGGGGGCAAGCUUGAGCACAUUCUCAAGGCUGUCUCGGAGCCGGUGGGCAAGCUCUUAUCUGUUGAUCUCGCCUCCCUGGAGGGAGAUGAUCCGGCCCGUAUCGAGGUUCUGUGCCCGAUGCUGGCCGAUGUGGAAGGCUUAUCCUUGAUCUUCUACUUUGGUAAGAAGGGUGGGCGUCUCACCUAUGAGGUCGAUCUGGAGGAGCUCGAGAGCCCGUCGAGAGUGAUCCCGCCUCCCCUGCCACCGGCUCCCACCGAUGACCGGCACGACGGGGGUGAGGAGGGUUCUGAUGAGUCCUUGUCCGAGGAUGAUGACGUCCCUCUGGUGAAGGACUCCGACCAGCAGAGCCCCGCUCGCGUUGCCGAGGCGGGGUCGGGGCCCCCAGGGCUGCCACCCUGGCCCUCACUAGAGGCGGACUGGCAUCGCCACCACCUGCGGUGGUGA
This 939-nucleotide ribosomal RNA is filed under the name Triticum aestivum (bread wheat). RNAcentral describes it as "partial small subunit ribosomal RNA". The record is from RNAcentral. Lineage: Eukaryota; Viridiplantae; Streptophyta; Magnoliopsida; Poales; Poaceae.